AAGUUAGUGAUGAUUAUAAAAAUAAUUUUUCAUUAUGACUUGCUUAAUUUGGGUAUGACUAACCUCUUAUUACAACUAUAGAAUCUGAGCUAC
Molecule: small nucleolar RNA, 93 nt
Organism: Theobroma cacao (cacao)
Lineage: Eukaryota; Viridiplantae; Streptophyta; Magnoliopsida; Malvales; Malvaceae
Rfam family: Small nucleolar RNA snoR8a
Source: Rfam